AAGAUGGCGACCGGCGCACGGGUGAGUAACACGUAUCCAACCUGCCGAUAACUCGGGGAUAGCCUUUCGAAAGAAAGAUUAAUAUCCGAUGGUAUAUUAAGAUCGCAUGAUUUUACUAUUAAAGAAUUUCGGUUAUCGAUGGGGAUGCGUUCCAUUAGUUUGUUGGCGGGGUAACGGCCCACCAAGACUACGAUGGAUAGGGGUUCUGAGAGGAAGGUCCCCCACAUUGGUACUGAGACACGGACCAA
This 248-nucleotide ribosomal RNA is filed under the name uncultured bacterium. RNAcentral's name for it is "partial 16S ribosomal RNA". It matches the Rfam family "Bacterial small subunit ribosomal RNA", at positions 85 to 334 of the family's 1533-position model. The record is from RNAcentral.